UUCUUGCAAAAGAAGCAUUCAGCUUGACUCUUAUCGGGCUUAAUCUUUCUGGUCUGAUCCUGCACUGAUGUCCCAGUCUGAACUUGCACCUUCUUCACUUUUUUCUUCUUGUUUUUCUUUCCUUUAUCAAAGGAUCGAGAACCAGAAGACGAACCUCCCACUAAGUUCACCGACUCCUUGUGGAGUUGGUGAUCCUUCUCAAAGUUCUGAAGCAACCCCA
RNAcentral lists this long non-coding RNA (220 nucleotides) under Elaeis guineensis (African oil palm). RNAcentral describes it as "long non-coding RNA (EGUI_LNC081772)". Lineage: Eukaryota; Viridiplantae; Streptophyta; Magnoliopsida; Arecales; Arecaceae. The record is from RNAcentral.